GUGAAUCAUCGAAUCUUUGAACGCACAUUGCGCCCGCCAGUAUUCUGGCGGGCAUGCCUGUCUGAGCGUCAUUUCAACCCUCAUACCCCUAGGGUGUGGUGUUGGGGAUCGGCCAAGGCCCGCAAGGGACGGCCGGCCCCUAAAUCUAGUGGCGGACCCGUCGUGGCCUCCUCUGCGAAGUAGUAAUAUUCCGCAUCGGAGAAGCGACGAGCCCCUGCCGUUAAACCCCCAACUUUCUAAGGUUGACCUCAGAUCAGGUAGGAAUACCCGCUGAACUUAAGCAUAUCAAUAAGCGGAGGA
RNAcentral lists this unclassified non-coding RNA (300 nucleotides) under Ascomycota sp. RNAcentral's name for it is "partial contains 5.8S ribosomal RNA, internal transcribed spacer 2, and large subunit ribosomal RNA". The stretch from base 1 to 71 matches the Rfam family "5.8S ribosomal RNA", at positions 84 to 154 of the family's 154-position model. Lineage: Eukaryota; Fungi; Ascomycota. The record is from RNAcentral.